GAUGUCGUGGGAUGGAUAUGUUGACAAUUUAAAAACAAACACCGCUAACGAUAUCGAGGACGCCGCCAUACUAGGGAUAGAUGGUUCGGUAUGGGCGAAAUCUUCCGGCAUGGAGGGAAUCCAGACGGAGGAGGCCCAGAAGUUCAGCCAGCAGGCCACGUCCUACAACGUGUGUGGAGAGAAGUACCUGUCGGUGGGGGGGGGGGACGGCAUCAUCAACAUGAAGUCCGUCAACCCCGACAGCGAAGGCAACAAGCGCCACAUCACCGUGGCCAAGAGCAACAAGUGUUUCGUGCUGGGCAAGGGAAAAUCAACCGGCCAGGCUGGGAACGUCUGCAAUGCUGUCUGUAAAAUCUCAGACUACCUGAAGCAAUCAGGCUACUGACCGUGACUCCGCCCACUUCCUGUGUGUCGACCCGGCCCCGCCCCUCCCCUCCAGGACCCGCCCCCCGCCCUGCCCCACUGCAGUCGUUUCAUUGUCGUCUGUGUUGUUCCAUUCAUCUGGGACCCAAUUGCUUCUCUUUUAGUUUGACUCCAUUGGCCAAUCACAGAGCUGGGAAGUGAUCACAUGACUGCAUCAAUAAAUGUGCUCAUCAAGAAACAGCGUGUGUAUCUGUGUGUGUGUGUGUGUGUGUGUGUACAAGGACCCUUGUGAGGACCGUGGGUUGAGGACUGGUUCCAGGUCUCACUGGUCCUCAGACCUCUU
RNAcentral lists this long non-coding RNA (706 nucleotides) under Salarias fasciatus (jewelled blenny). RNAcentral describes it as "lncRNA (ENSSFAG00005006352.1)". Lineage: Eukaryota; Metazoa; Chordata; Actinopteri; Blenniiformes; Blenniidae. The record is from RNAcentral.